AUAGGGGGGAAGGAUAUACAUGCAAGUCGAACGAGCUUCCGUUGAAUGACGUGCUUGCACUGAUUUCAACAAUGAAGCGAGUGGCGAACUGGUGAGUAACACGUGGGAAAUCUGCCCAGAAGCAGGGGAUAACACUUGGAAACAGGUGCUAAUACCGUAUAACAACAAAAUCCGCAUGGAUUUUGUUUGAAAGGUGGCUUCGGCUAUCACUUCUGGAUGAUCCCGCGGCGUAUUAGUUAGUUGGUGAGGUAAAGGCCCACCAAGACGAUGAUACGUAGCCGACCUGAGAGGGUAAUCGGCCACAUUGGGACUGAGACACGGCCCAAACUCCUACGGGAGGCAGCAGUAGGGAAUCUUCCACAAUGGACGAAAGUCUGAUGGAGCAAUGCCGCGUGAGUGAAGAAGGGUUUCGGCUCGUAAAACUCUGUUGUUAAAGAAGAACACCUUUGAGAGUAACUGUUCAAGGGUUGACGGUAUUUAACCAGAAAGCCACGGCUAACUACGUGCCAGCAGCCGCGGUAAUACGUAGGUGGCAAGCGUUGUCCGGAUUUAUUGGGCGUAAAGCGAGCGCAGGCGGUUUUUUAAGUCUGAUGUGAAAGCCUUCGGCUUAACCGGAGAAGUGCAUCGGAAACUGGGAGACUUGAGUGCAGAAGAGGACAGUGGAACUCCAUGUGUAGCGGUGGAAUGCGUAGAUAUAUGGAAGAACACCAGUGGCGAAGGCGGCUGUCUAGUCUGUAACUGACGCUGAGGCUCGAAAGCAUGGGUAGCGAACAGGAUUAGAUACCCUGGUAGUCCAUGCCGUAAACGAUGAGUGCUAAGUGUUGGAGGGUUUCCGCCCUUCAGUGCUGCAGCUAACGCAUUAAGCACUCCGCCUGGGGAGU
This 881-nucleotide ribosomal RNA is filed under the name Levilactobacillus brevis. RNAcentral's name for it is "bacterial SSU rRNA". It matches the Rfam family "Bacterial small subunit ribosomal RNA", at positions 36 to 881 of the family's 1533-position model. The record is from RNAcentral. Lineage: Bacteria; Bacillati; Bacillota; Bacilli; Lactobacillales; Lactobacillaceae.